UGGGAAUUUUGGACAAUGGGCGAAAGCCUGAUCCAGCAAUGCCGCGUGUGUGAAGAAGGCCUUCGGGUUGUAAAGCACUUUUGUCCGGAAAGAAAUCCUUGGCUCUAAUACAGUCGGGGAUGACGGUACCGGAAGAAUAAGCACCGGCUAACUACGUGCCAGCAGCCGCGGUAAUACGUAGGGUGCAAGCGUUAAUCGGAAUUACUGGGCGUAAAGCGUGCGCAGGCGGUUUGCUAAGACCGAUGUGAAAUCCCCGGGCUCAACCUGGGAACUGCAUUGGUGACUGGCAGGCUAGAGUAUGGCAGAGGGGGGUAGAAUUCCACGUGUAGCAGUGAAAUGCGUAGAGAUGUGGAGGAAUACCGAUGGCGAAGGCAGCCCCCUGGGCAAGUACUGACGCUCAUGCACGAAAAGCGUGGGGGAGCAAACAGGAUUNGAUACCCCUGGUAGUCCACGCCCCUAAANGAUGUCAACUAGUUGUUGGGGAUCAUUUCCUUAGUAACGUAGCUAACGCGUGAAGUUGACCGCCUGGGGAGUACGGUCGCAAGAUUAAAACUCAAAGGAAUUG
RNAcentral lists this ribosomal RNA (565 nucleotides) under uncultured bacterium. RNAcentral's name for it is "partial 16S ribosomal RNA". It matches the Rfam family "Bacterial small subunit ribosomal RNA", at positions 356 to 912 of the family's 1533-position model. The record is from RNAcentral.